This 479-nucleotide ribosomal RNA is filed under the name Triticum aestivum (bread wheat). RNAcentral's name for it is "partial small subunit ribosomal RNA". The record is from RNAcentral. Lineage: Eukaryota; Viridiplantae; Streptophyta; Magnoliopsida; Poales; Poaceae.
GCGUGUGAGCAUGAGCAUAGGCACGGCGUGGGCGUAGGUUUCAAAGGUUUGGGGGGUCUCUCCUCUUUUCGCACAGCUUUCCCCUUGGGUUCAGGGCGUGCGGCGUGCGGCUUAAGCAGCGGCCUUAGCAGCAAGGUCGUCGGGUCGGGCGGCUGUCUCCCCCGCAUCCCUCAUCCGCUGCUCCCUAGCAGCCUCUACCACGCCCACGCACCCGUCCGCUUGCACCGCCGCCGCCUCUUGGCCCCGGCGAAGGAGGCGGAGCGGCUCGGCCCGUAGUUGAAGAAGUUGGCGGCGCGGCCGCUCGAGCAGCGGCCCUGGGAGAGGUGGGCGCAGGUCAGCGAGCUCUAGUUCUGGUUCCUAUUACAGAAACAAGUCGACUAGACAUGUUAAGUUAUGGCCCAACAAUUCCUCUUACGUCUACUACGUAAGAUGUUCAACGUCUUAGGGGGUUGUCGUUUAAGUCAGGAUGCAGAAACUAC